AGCACUUGUGUAUGUCUUUGUUUAAUUUGUAACAAAGCCUUACAGACAGGUGCAAAUAGUAAAUCCUCUUUUGCAACCCAGAACUCAUUGCUGAUAUGAGAUUUUGGUACAUGUAAGAAGGAAUAUG
Molecule: small nucleolar RNA, 127 nt
Organism: Dipodomys ordii (Ord's kangaroo rat)
Lineage: Eukaryota; Metazoa; Chordata; Mammalia; Rodentia; Heteromyidae
Source: Ensembl